Molecule: long non-coding RNA, 870 nt
Filed under: Sinocyclocheilus anshuiensis
Lineage: Eukaryota; Metazoa; Chordata; Actinopteri; Cypriniformes; Cyprinidae
Description: lncRNA (ENSSANG00000048239.1)
Source: RNAcentral
CAGUUACUAUAAUACUAGAACAGAAACAGCAUUGUGUGUUUGUGUGUGCAGGUGAUUCUUCUUGUAGCGUUCGCUUGCGUUCGUUCCACGUGGUACACCAGUUUCUACGCUUACGGUUUUUUUGAAGGGGUCACGCUCGGUUACUCCAUCACGGUCGCCGUUUUUCUAUUCCUGACUGUAUUUGGGGUUCCGAAAAGGGCAUCAUUUGUAAACUGGACGAUAGCCGAGUUUGUGCUUGAUACACUGGGAUUCAUCUUCAUCUCCACUGGUUCCAUUGUAGCUGCUGUGAAGUCUUAUGACACCCCCAUUCUGGUUGCCGCCUCAGUGUGUGGUCUUCUGGCCUCAUAUCUCUCAGUUGUAAGUGUGAUACUUUCAUUUGUUGCCGCUCGCCGCUCACAACCUGAGGGUAAGUUAGGAGCUGAGCGUGUUUUCAGUGUGUAUUUUAACAUAUUUAGAUAAACUGCACAUAGCUGGAUCUGCAAAACAUUUUCAGGUGCUUUUGAAUCCUGAACUGAUUAUCUGAAAUAAUGUUUUUCUGUUCCAGAUCCACCAAUAUAAAAACAUUGUCUUGAUAUUUAUAGUCUAACUGCCCUCAACACAGGAGAGCAUGGAUGGGGAAUUGAUAAAGGGUAUGGUUGUUUUAGUAAAUUUACAUAGAAUAGAAUAUCACUUAUUGCACACAUGACUUAUUGCAGCCAGAUGGUUUUAAUACUAUAAUUACUAUAUAAUAUUUAAUAUUAUAAUACCCUGCCAAUAAUUUACUGGUGCAUACAUUCUAACAAAUGGUCUUUAUUUUCAAUUUACUCUUAUAAUAGUGUCAACAUUGUUUUGUUAAUCAUUUGUUUACAAAAUGUAUUAUUACGACAAAUA